RNAcentral lists this non-coding RNA (641 nucleotides) under Clonorchis sinensis. RNAcentral describes it as "Eukaryotic large subunit ribosomal RNA". It matches the Rfam family "Eukaryotic large subunit ribosomal RNA", at positions 2418 to 2975 of the family's 3401-position model. Lineage: Eukaryota; Metazoa; Platyhelminthes; Trematoda; Opisthorchiida; Opisthorchiidae. The record is from Rfam by way of RNAcentral.
CCAUUUGUUUGUGAACACGAUGAAGAAAGUUACAUGACGGGUGAAGAAUAAGUGGGAGAUGAGCUUCGGCUUGUCACCGGUGAAAUACCACUACCGUCGACGUUUAUUUGCUCAUUCAGUGAAAUCAGAACAAUAUUUUGGUCCCAAGCACGUGCCGGCAAGCUUGGUUUCGCUGUGGGUGUCGGCAUCUUGACCACGCCAGACGAAUCGUGACUUCGGUCGCGGCGUUUAAGCCUGAUGUGAUGUGCGGCCCGUUCUGAAGACAAUGUCAGGCAGGGAGUUUGACUGGAGCGACACAUCUGCCAAAUGGUAACGCAGGUGUCCCAAGGUGAGUCCAGCCAGGACGGAAACCUGGCGUGGAGUAAAAGGGCAAAAGCUUACCUGAUUUUGAUUUUCAGUACGAAUACAGACAGUGAAAGCGCGGCCUAUCAAGUCUUUGAUUUUGACAUUUGAAGGUUGAAGCAAGAGGUGUCAAAAAAGUUACCACAGGGAUAACUGGCUCAUGGUGGCCAAGCGUUCAUAGCGACGUCGCUCUCUCAUCCUUCGAUGUCGGCUCUCCUUAGCGUUGUGACGCAGAAUUCACCAAGCGUUGGACUGUUCACCCACAAAUAGGGAACGUGAACUGGGUGUAGACCGUCGUU